UAGCGGCAGGCUUACACAUGCAAGUCGAGGGGUAACGACUCCGUCUUCGGAUGGAGGUCGACGACCGGCGCACGGGUGAGUAACGCGUAUGCAACCUACCUUUUACAGGAGGAUAGCCCAGAGAAAUUUGGAUUAAUACUCCAUAGUACUAAUGAAUCACCUGGUUUAUUAGUUAAAACUCCGGUGGUAAAAGAUGGGCAUGCAUGUCAUUAGCUAGUUGGUAAGGUAACGGCUUACCAAGGCGAAGAUGACUAGGGGUUCUGAGAGGAAGAUCCCCCACACUGGUACUGAGACACGGACCAGACUCCUACGGGAGGCAGCAGUGAGGAAUAUUGGUCAAUGGGUGAGAGCCUGAACCAGCCAUGUCGCGUGAAGGAAGACUGCCCUAUGGGUUGUAAACUUCUUUUCUGCAGGAAGAAAUCACUCUACGUGUAGGGUGUUGCCGGUACUGCAGGAAUAAGCAUCGGCUAACUCCGUGCCAGCAGCCGCGGUAAUACGGAGGAUGCAAGCGUUAUCCGGAUUUAUUGGGUUUAAAGGGUGCGUAGGCGGGCUUGUAAGUCAGUGGUGAAAUGCUGUGGCUUAACCAUAGAAUUGCCAUUGAAACUGCAAGUCUUGAGUACAGUUGAGGUGGGCGGAAUGAGUAAUGUAGCGGUGAAAUGCAUAGAUAUUACUCAGAACUCCGAUUGCGUAGGCAGCUUGCUAAACUGUAACUGACGCUGAUGCACGAAAGCGUGGGGAGCGAACAGGAUUAGAUACCCUGGUAGUCCACGCUGUAAACGAUGAGUGCUAGGUGUCGGCAAGAGAUUGUCGGUGCCGCAGCUAACGCAUUAAGCACUCCGCCUGGGGAGUACGAUCGCAAGAUUGAAACUCAAAGGAAUUGACGGGGACCCGCACAAGCAGCGGAGCAUGUGGUUUAAUUCGAAGCAACGCGAAGAACCUUACCAAGACUUGACAUCCUCUUGAUGGGUGUAGAAGUACACCGUCUCUUCGGAGCAAGAGUGACAGGUGGUGCAUGGUUGUCGUCAGCUCGUGUCGUGAGAUGUUGGGUUAAGUCCCGCAACGAGCGCAACCCUUAUCAUUAGUUGCCAUCAUUAAGUUGGGAACUCUAAUGAGACUGCCGGUGAUAAACCGGAGGAAGGUGGGGAUGACGUCAAAUCAUCAUGCCCCUUAUGUCUUGGGCUACACACGUGCUACAAUGGUCGGUACAACGGGAAGCUAAAGAGUGAUCUGGAGCUAACCCCAAUAAGCCGAUCCCAGUUCGGAUUGCAGGCCGCAACUCGCCUGCAUGAAGUUGGAGUUGCUAGUAAUCGCGAAUCAGAAUGUCGCGGUGAAUGCGUUCCCGGGUCUUGUACACACCGCCCGUCACACCAUGGGAGUUGGUAAUACCCGAAGCCG
Molecule: ribosomal RNA, 1395 nt
Filed under: uncultured organism
Description: partial 16S ribosomal RNA
Rfam family: Bacterial small subunit ribosomal RNA
Source: RNAcentral